Pteropus alecto (black flying fox) is the source of this 1497-nucleotide long non-coding RNA. RefSeq lists it as uncharacterized. The record is from RefSeq and is a predicted model, not a curated record. Lineage: Eukaryota; Metazoa; Chordata; Mammalia; Chiroptera; Pteropodidae. The transcript is spliced from 3 exons.
CACCUCCCGCCCUCGGAGCCAUCCACACCAGAGGGGGCUUCCCGGAAGAGGUCCUGGGCGGCACCUCACCUGGGAGCAGGUAUAAGGUGAAGGUGCCACAGCUCAAGCAGAAGGCCCACGCAAACUUGACCUCUGCAGAGCUGGAAUGGCCCCAGAGAGGACCUCUGCCGUGAAGACAGACUGAGCCAGCAGUCUCAGGACAUCUGGAGAAGAGGGGGACCAGUGACCCAGGAGGCCGGUCCUCUUCCUUUGUGGGAGACUCCAGUUUGUAGGCCCCUAGCCCUCUCCCGGACCCUCGCCAGUGAGGUAACUGGCCACUCCUGAGAACAUGAUCACAAGGACAGCCUCCCAGAGGCGGAUCCAGGUUCGAGGCUGUGAACCUGUUUCUCAUCUUCCUACGUCUUAUCAUAACCACCACUGACCGAAGAAAGAUUCAAUGGCCUGGCUUCUGCGAGGGAACCUUUAAGCCCGUGGAAUGUCCUGCCUGAUAUGUGUCUGUGUUUACCUGGAGUCCUUGAGCCACACCAGAUAGUUUAUGCUACCAGUGUAGUUUGCGCGGGUGAGGGGGCGUUGGGGUGCACUAUAUCAGCUUGACCCCCGGAGAGACUGGAGACUGAAUAACUCAGGUCAGCCACGUGGGUGCUCCAUGCCUACGCAAGUGACCUUCAAUAAAAACUCUGGACACCAGGGUUUGGGUGAGCUUCUCCGACGGGCAGUAGUCCGUGCGAGUCGUCACACGUCCGUCGUUCGUUGUUGGGAGAAGUAAGUGCUGUUCCGAGACUCCCCUGGGAGGGACAGUGGAAGCUGGUACCUGGUCUCCCUGGAAGCCGCCCACCGAGGCUCAUCCCUUUGCUGAUUUUCAACGGUGUCCUUUAGCUGUAAGGUAACUGUGAGUGUAACAGUUUUCCUAAACUCUCUGAGUCCUUCUAGCAGCUCAUCGAACCCGAGGGUGGUCUUGAGGACCCCUGCAGCGAGGGAGAGGGACUAAGCCAGAGAGUGAGUGGGGGCAUUUUCGGAUGCGGGAUGUGACUGAAACGAAGCUGAGGAGAACCCCGACGUUUGCGGCUUGAGUGGCUGGAUAAAAAUGGACGUGUCGUUUACUCGGAUGGGGGGAGGUCGUGGGAGGAGCGGAGGUGUGAAGACUGAAAAUCCUCUUCGAGUUGGAGGGCUGAGUCUGGAGUUAUAACGGCAUUAUCAUCGCUAGAGUAAGCCCUGUAAAUACGAUUAUUUCUACUUAAAGGAGCCUCGGUGAAGUAUUAUUAGAGAAGGCCUCCAUUGUCACUGUUAAUACCAGAAGCCUCUAUAAAUAUAGUAUUCUUGUUAUUUGAGGAGGCCCCAAUAAACAUUAUUUAUAGGGAAUAAGCCUCUAUUAAUAUAACAAUUACUAGCAUAGCCUGUAAAAAAAAAAAUGCUUAGCAUUAGAAUUGGCCUUGCUAAACGGUGUUAUUGUUUGACGAUUGGCAUCAGUGAAUCUCACGGCGGUCAACAUCGGUUUGU